Scophthalmus maximus (turbot) is the source of this 109-nucleotide ribosomal RNA. The record is from Ensembl. NCBI's taxonomy places the organism in Eukaryota, Metazoa, Chordata, Actinopteri, Pleuronectiformes, Scophthalmidae.
GCUUACGGCCACACCGCCUGGUUCACGCUUGAUCUCGGAAGCUAAGAUAGGUUGGGCCUGGUUAGUACUUGGAUGGGAGACCGUCUGGGAAUACCAGGUGCUGUAAGCU